UACAGAGGUCUCGAGCGUUGUUCGGAUUCAUUGGGCGUAAAGGGCGCGUAGGCGGCGGGGUAAGUCUGGUGUGAAAUCUCGGAGCUCAACUCCGAAAUUGCACUGGAUACUGCUCUGCUAGAGGGCUGGAGAGGAGAUCGGAAUUCACGGUGUAGCAGUGAAAUGCGUAGAUAUCGGGAGGAACACCAGUGGCGAAGGCGGUUGCCUGGGGCUUUGCUGACGCUGAGGCGCGAAAGCGUGGGGAGCGAUCCGG
This 253-nucleotide ribosomal RNA is filed under the name uncultured bacterium. Its description in RNAcentral is "partial 16S ribosomal RNA". It matches the Rfam family "Bacterial small subunit ribosomal RNA", at positions 524 to 776 of the family's 1533-position model. The record is from RNAcentral.